This 332-nucleotide unclassified non-coding RNA is filed under the name soil metagenome. RNAcentral's name for it is "partial contains 5.8S ribosomal RNA, internal transcribed spacer 2, and large subunit ribosomal RNA". The stretch from base 1 to 120 matches the Rfam family "5.8S ribosomal RNA", at positions 35 to 154 of the family's 154-position model. The record is from RNAcentral.
GAUGAAGAACGUAGCGAAAUGCGAUAAGUAGUGUGAAUUGCAGAAUUCAGUGAAUCAUCGAAUCUUUGAACGCACAUUGCGCCCUUUGGUAUUCCUUAGGGCAUGCCUGUUCGAGCGUCAUUUAAACCUUCAAGCUAAGCUUGGUGUUGGGUGACUGUCCGCUUCGCGGCGGACUCGCCUCAAAAUUAUUGGCGGCCGGUACAUUGGCUUCGAGCGCAGCAGAAACGCGAACUCGGGCCCGUCGUAUUGGCUCCCAGAAGCUAUCUUCACAAUUUUGACCUCGGAUCAGGUAGGGAUACCCGCUGAACUUAAGCAUAUCAAUAAGCGGAGGA